Phalacrocorax carbo (great cormorant) is the source of this 5331-nucleotide non-coding RNA. The record is from RefSeq and is a predicted model, not a curated record. NCBI's taxonomy places the organism in Eukaryota, Metazoa, Chordata, Aves, Suliformes, Phalacrocoracidae.
GACUGUACCGGCCAAUCACGAGAGAGGGCGGGAGCAGGUCGCUAUGGCGGCGGGUUCUCCGCCACAGCCUGGCUCGCCAGAGGCUCCGCUGGCCGAGGCCCGGCGUACAGCGGGGCGGGGGAGAUAUCCCGAAGAAAAUUGAAUUUUCUUGUAAGCAAUAACAGUGAACUGUGUGAGCUUUGCGAAACAGAACGUGGCGGCCAGAGAAGGGAGCUGAGAGAGAAACACCACCCUUGCAGUUCUCCACAGAAGGGCCGGUUCCCUGUAACAUAAUGGCACAGGGCAGAGCUGCCACCACUGGGAAAGUGCAGAAGGUGACACGGAAGACACAGACAGAUGAUGCCUGGGAAACACGUGGUGGUACCCCAUGGAGCAAAGUGUCCACCCCACGCAGGACACACAUAGCCCUGUGGCCCUUUCUUGGGGCGGCAGGUGAGGAUGUGAGGAAGAGGCAUGCUCUGCGAGGGGGUUUCCUUACCUUGGCACAAUGGACAAGUCCCAGCUCUGAGCUGCCAGCAAUGCUGCUAUAGCUUUGGGCAAGAGAGGCAAAGCAGAAACAUCUGCUAUCCCAGAUGAGCCAACUUGGCAAAAACUCUAAGGCCUUAAACAUCAGUUUCACAGGCAGAAGACUACAUCUGCAGUACACAAAUGUUUCUAAAAGCAUUUACCAGCUUCAAAAUAAAGAAAUGUCCUCCUACAACAGAUUUGUAACCAAGUUAGCUUGGUACAACUAACAAGCAGGAGCAUGCAAGGUUACAGUGCAUCUAGGAACAUGCAAUGCAAUGCAAUGCCACCUGUAUCCCCACCAGUAUUGGCCUGGAGAGAUGCUGCUGCAGCCCCAGAACACCCCAAAGUGUUCAAGGCAGAGUGGGCACAUACAUAAUUUCAAGCUGCUCUGCUGCAUAUCAGCAUUUGGGAGACACCUAUGGAGCACAGACCCCCACUGCUCAAGCUGCAUCUCAGCAUCCCACCUCUUUUCACUUGAGCUGCUGGUGAAACACCACAUGCCUUUGCUACCUGCCCAUUACCUGGGCAUGCUGUUAGCCAUCCCCUCAAGGUAAAACAUUUCACAAACAGAGGAUGGAGGCACAGAGAAAUCAAGGCUUAAUCUCUCACAAAUGUUGAGGUGUUUAACUCCCAUGGAACAGACACAUAUUUGAGCACUCUAGUACCUUUUGGUAUCUGAUGUAAAAGAGAAUCCUUGGAAAAAAAACACCAAACAACCAGGCAGGAAAAGACUGAGCUAGGGAAUGAAACUUUGAUCUCCACACAGUGCAUUAAUGAGACCUUAAGCCAGUCCUUGCUUUCUGCUCUCUCCCACCCCUCAGUGCUGCAAGAAAUGCCUCUCUAGGACUAUGCAUUAGCCCUGCAGUUUCAGAGCAAAUUCAACAGUUCCCACUAGUUUGGCACGCUUGAGGUUGGAAACUCAAGUCGCAUCAAUAAGAAAAAUAUUUUCUUGUUUUAUUUGGCAAGAGAGAAUGAAUCCUCUAAUACGAAGCAUAAUUCCUGUUAGAGAACUAUUCGCUUUUGACACAUAUGUUUCAUUUGCUUUGCUGCUGCCAGAUUUCCAAGAGAAAUAAAGUUGUAUAAAUACCUGCCAGGAAAGGGAACAAGGCAAAAGCAUAAAAUAUGUCUCCUACAACCCUUCUUCUUACUAAUUACUGCAAACAGGAUGCUUUUAACAAGGAGAGCAAGUGCACAACAUGAAGCAGCAACAAGAGACCCACCGGCACUUAGCUUGGUUUAGGCUCCUCUUUCUUGUGCUUUGCAUGGUCCAGAGCGGGAAGAAUAAGCCUUUCCAUUUUGACCUUACUGGGAUAGAUACUGACAAAUUCCUGGGGCUGGUCACGGUGUUGGACUAAGAACAGUGCUGCAUUCUUCAGACACCGUAAACAGGCCAUGCACGCACAAUGGGAUGUGCUGCUCAAGGCUGCUUCUUGUCUUCAAGCCGUCUGUUUACAGCCAGCAUGACACACUUCUAUUUUCCACCCCAGCGAUAUUAAUAGUGCUGUGUAUUUUGGUGCAAAUUACACCCAAACACCCCUUGCUGUGGCAGUAACCCAGAGAAGAGGGAACAGGAUGGAGAGCCAAGCUGGACGGAUGAUGCAAAGGCAGGAGGCCAGCACAGCAGAGUGCUCCCUGAGGCACGGCUCUCUGUAGAGGGGCUGCCCAGCAGAAAGCCCAGCUAUACUCCACAACGGGGCAUCACUGUUGAAGCAUGCCACAAAUCCCUGGUUUUAAGUUGCUGUGAUGAAGAAAGAGCCUGUGCCUCCCUGAUGUCUUUCAGUCCUGAAAGGAUUAUACCCAACAAUGAUGCCUGACAACAUGGUCCCAGUAUCACCUUCAGAUGAAAGCCUGGUCUAUGGACGAGUUCCACUGCACAACCAGCCACCUGCGAUGAACAGCCAGGCCCUGGGAAGCUGCUGUCAACUCUUGUCUUCAAACCAUUCCCCAAACCCUCUCUCUCCUUGUGAUGUAACUUGGGGCUUGCAGCCAUGCAGAGCCACUGUGAUCGACCCCUGGGGCUGGGGAUGCUGGCCACCCUCGGCAGUGCAAUGGGAGAAUCAUGGGGACCAAGACCUGGCUCCCGGGGAACCACAGCAGCGUGCUGAGCCUCAUCGCCAGCACGAGCUGGAUUUGGGUUCCUGCAGCAGUCACCUGAAAGCAAAAACAUCAGCAGUGAAGGAAGUCAAGCAGCACAGAAAAGGGGGCAAUUUUAGUAAUGUUUUUGAAAAGAUGACCAGUGAUGAGAGGCUCCUACUCUAAAUAAAAGAAACCCACGUGGAAGAUGAAUAUCCUACCUUCCCCUGAAAAGGCACUAAGGGCUCUCACAACACACAUUCAGGACUUCUCACAAAGUCUGGAAGCAAAGGCAGAGAAGAGAGAUCAGCUCUCCCUUACCUGUUCUUUGUAACUUUGGGGAAAGGGUAAAAGCCUGUUAAAAGCUACCUUUCAGCUCCAGCCCACCCCAGGGACCGGGAGGUCUCAGAGGGAGACUAAGGGACCCCAUGCGGCCACUUAAUUACUGAGGGACCAUCCACCUUAACUGAGCAGCUGUUGGGGCAACAGAGCCUGAACUUACAGCCACACCAGGACAAAACACAGCAUGGAGGGGACUGUGACACUUCCUCCUGCUGCUGUUGCUGGCUCUAGCUUGCCUCUUUUGCCCAUGAGGUUUGCAGUGUUCCCCACCAUCUCUUUCUGCAGCUGAGCCAGCCUUGGGGGUCUCUGCUGCCAAAUUCUCCACCCAGUCCCAAGCCCUGUCACUGCCAAGGACAAUUAGGAAACGUUUCCAGUCUUGCCCCUCACAUUCAACAUGUUCUGCAUCUUUGAUCCCCUAAGCCUGUCACUUUUUCCUCUACUCAAUCCCCCACCCAGUUUCCUUUUACGCCUAUCUUCACACCUCGUCUCUCCAGCCCCAUACAGCUACAACCUCUCUAGCUUUGCACAGCUAUGCCUCAGCUCUCCAAAUGCUCAAAUUCCUCCUUGAAAUGUCUUUUCCUUACAGUGUUUUAGCAACAACCCAACCCUCCUUUUCCUCAUCUGUUGAAACCAGAGCAAACUGUAUCAUUACAAGACCAGGGAUCAAUCCAUCCAGCACAAGGGCCAGUCUGAUGAGAAACUUAAUAAGCAGCUCCAUGUCAAGAAGUGACGACUGCAUACUGCAACUGCUUGUUAAACAAAGCAAUCAACAUUGAUGAGAGCAGAAAGUAGAUACUAAUUUAUAAUAGAUGCUCUGGAUACUAGAUAGAUGUAGCCACUUGCAACCCCAAGGGACAUAUUCCAUACCAGGUCCACUAGAGAGACAGUCUCUGGCAAUGAGCAAGUCUCACGUGUGUUGGGCAUUAGUCACAUCACACCUACGAACCCACCAGCUCCUGGGUGAAUUCUUUUUUUCCCCCCCCUUCACAGCUGUGGUGCUCUCCUCUACCUAAGCCUCUGCUCCCUCCUGCCUGUCCAAGACAGUGGGAAGAAAAGAGCUCCUGUUUUCCCAGCCAAACAGGGAAGGCAGAAGACACUAAUUCCUUUCCAGCAGAGGACAACAAAGGGGUAGAUGUCACCACCUCUCCCCCUUUUUAUGGGGGUGGGACCCCACUCGUAAAACCAAUUCUCACCCCUCUCAUUCACUCCACAUCAGCCAGGCCCUGCCCUAGAAGGGAGGUUUUACCCACACUGGCUUACUGUAUGGACUAGUGCGCCUCUACCAAAAGCACCCUCACACCCCAGACGGAACAGAGACCCCCUGAAAACUCAGGGCGCAGUGAGAAACAUGCUGCCUCUUGUAUAACUCAAGUGCACUUCGCCCCUCAAGGUAACGUGGUGAGCGGGCACGCAAGCAAGCACUGCCUAAUGCUGACGUUGGCAAUGAGUCAUCUCAGAGUUGCGCUGGCUUCUUCCCAGCAUGAAAAAGAUCCCUAACAAAAUGCAACACUCAGGCUGCACACAAGACAACCCAGUCUGAAUAAUGCCUGCUCAUCAGUCCCCACACAGAUCUCGGUUCUGGUUCUGCGGAGGUCAGCAAAGGAAAUAGUACAAUGCCAGGGGUCUGUGAAUAUUCCCUCCCUUUCAUUAAGUACCACCAUCGCAUCCCUCAUAGCAAAGGGCAGGACAAACUGCAGCCCAGAACAAGCAUCAUGCAGGAAAUGACUCGAUGGGAGAAGGAUCCAGAGCGUUCACUCCUUCCUUCUUGCCUUAAUACAGUCAACAGUCCUCCUCCAGCUGUAAUAGUUUCCUGUCUGUCCAGCUGCUUUGACUCACUGAGUCACUGCUCACCUGCCUCAGGUUUUUGUCUGGAGAAGAGGAGGCCAGAGGAUAAGAUGCUGCCCAAAAAACAUGGUCCUGGUGUGCUCCUGACCACUUGCUUUCUCAAAACAUGGAGGAGCAAGUUACAGGAUGAAGAAAAAAAAAAAAAGGCAAUGAAACAACAAAAAAAAGGUGCUAGCGAAGGUUAAAACUCAGGGUUAAUGCUCUAGAAAAAAGAGCCUCCUAACAGCAUGGUCACCACCCAAAUACAGCAAGGGCUUUAGAAACACCACUAAGCUACUGCGGUACAAUCCUAACCCUUCAAUUCUGUUAACGCAGUUUCUUGAUAGCUUAAAUAAAAUUUGAGAUUUCCCUUAUCUGUGGACACAGAGGGUAGGAAGUGUCAGUUAGAUGACAGAAAGCACAAGCUGGGUUCGUAUUCAGAACUACACAGAAAUACUCCGGUAACACAGCAGCAGGAGCUCGCAGUGCCAGAAUAAAAUAUUAUCUGUGUGACACUGAGGACCAGUAACUUACUGCCUGAUCUUGUCAUUCCUGGGUCCAAAUCUGGGUCCAGAAGGCCCUCUC